This 776-nucleotide ribosomal RNA is filed under the name uncultured Neocallimastigales. RNAcentral's name for it is "partial large subunit ribosomal RNA". It matches the Rfam family "Eukaryotic large subunit ribosomal RNA", at positions 26 to 629 of the family's 3401-position model. Lineage: Eukaryota; Fungi; Neocallimastigomycota; Neocallimastigomycetes; Neocallimastigales. The record is from RNAcentral.
CGCAUCUGUGCAUGCAGCAUAUCAAUAAGCGGAGGAAAAGAAACUAACAAGGAUUCCCUUAGUAACGGCGAGUGAAGCGGGAAGAGCUCAAAUUUGAAAUCUUCAAGGUUUUACCUUGACGAAUUGUAGUUUAAAGAAGUGUUUUCUGUUGAAGUUUUGGCUAAAAGUUCUUUGGAAUAGGACAUCAUAGAGGGUGAGAAUCCCGUAUUUGACCAUUAUUUUCAGCUGUGUGAUACACUUUCAAAGAGUCGGAUUGUUUGGGAAUGCAGUCCAAAAUGGGUGGUAAAUUUCAUCUAAAGCUAAAUAUUGGCGAGAGACCGAUAGCGAACAAGUACCGUGAUGGGAAAGAUGAAAAGAACUUUGAAAAGAGAGUUAAACAGUACGUGAAAUUGUCAAAAGGGAAGCGUUUGACACCAGUGUUGUUUUCUCGAAAAUCAAUUAAAAAGAGUUAGAUUUUGUUGUGUAUUGACCUUAACAGCUUGCAUUUCAAUUUUCUUGCUUUUUUUAAUGCACUUUUCGUUUAACAAGUCAACAUCAGUUUCUUUUGUUGUAAAAAGGUCAUUGGAAGGUGGCUUUCUUUUCGGAGAAAGUGUUUAUAGCCUUUGACUCCUGCAAUCGGAGAGACUGAGGUCUGCAGCGUAGAUCCUUCGGGGUUAGAUACAUUUGUGCUAAGUUAUAGCUUUUUAUAGACAACUUGUUGACUAUGAUUAGUCUUGUAGCUUACUCGCUUAUGCUAUUUUACCUACGCUUAGGAUGUUGAUGUGAUACUGCGAGCA